GACGAACGCUGGCGGCGUGCUUAACACAUGCAAGUCGAACGGUGAAGCUCCAGCUUGCUGGAGUGGAUCAGUGGCGAACGGGUGAGUAACACGUGAGCAACCUGCCCCUGACUCUGGAAUAAGCGCUGGAAACGGCGUCUAAUACUGGAUACGAGAAGGGUCCGCAUGGGCACUUUCUGGAAAGUUUUUCGGUUGGGGAUGGGCUCGCGGCCUAUCAGCUUGUUGGUGAGGUAAUGGCUCACCAAGGCGACGACGGGUAGCCGGCCUGAGAGGGCGACCGGCCACACUGGGACUGAGACACGGCCCAGACUCCUACGGGAGGCAGCAGUGGGGAAUAUUGCACAAUGGGCGAAAGCCUGAUGCAGCGACGCCGCGUGAGGGAUGACGGCCUUCGGGUUGUAAACCUCUUUCAGCAGGGAAGGAGCGAAAGUGACGGUACCUGCAGAAGAAGCACCGGCUAACUACGUG
RNAcentral lists this ribosomal RNA (468 nucleotides) under uncultured bacterium. RNAcentral describes it as "partial 16S ribosomal RNA". It matches the Rfam family "Bacterial small subunit ribosomal RNA", at positions 28 to 507 of the family's 1533-position model. The record is from RNAcentral.